ACGGGCGGUGUGUGCGUAGGCUGGCUUUUAAGUCAGGUGUGAAAUCCAAUGGCUCAACCAUUGAACUGCACUUGAAACUGGGAGCCUAGAGUUCAGAAGGGGCAGAUGGAAUUAGUGGUGUAGGGGUAAAAUCCGUAGAUAUCACUAGGAAUAUCAAAAGCGAAGGCGAUCUGCUGGGAUGAUACUGACGCUGAGGCACGAAAGCGUGGGGAGCAAACAGGAUUAGAUACCCUGGUAGUCCACGCCCUAAACGAUGAAUGCUAGUCGUCGGGAAGCUCGUCUUUUCGGUGACGCACUUAACAGAUUAAGCAUUCCGCCUGGGGAGUACGGUCGCAAGAUUAAAACUCAAAGGAAUAGACGGGGACCCGCACAAGUGGUGGAGCAUGUGGUUUAAUUCGAAGAUACACGAAGAACCUUACCUGGCCUUGACAUCCCAA
This 437-nucleotide ribosomal RNA is filed under the name uncultured archaeon. RNAcentral describes it as "bacterial SSU rRNA". It matches the Rfam family "Bacterial small subunit ribosomal RNA", at positions 554 to 992 of the family's 1533-position model. The record is from RNAcentral.